Molecule: unclassified non-coding RNA, 194 nt
Filed under: uncultured fungus
Lineage: Eukaryota; Fungi
Description: sequence contains ITS1
Source: RNAcentral
UUAACUAUUAUAUAGUACUCAGACAACACUGAUAAUCAGAGUUUUGAAUCCUCUGGCGGCCACUGACCAGCCGAAGCCGGUUGUCCGAGGACGGGGCCGCCAAAGCAACAAAGGUAAUGUAAACAUUGGGUGGGAGGUCUACCCCGAAGGGCAUGAUCUCAUUAAUGAUCCUUCCGCAGGUUCACCUACGGAAA